AGGAAAACUAAGAUGAAGAAAGUAGUAUAUUAAUAGUGCUUACAGAGAGAAGGAGUUGCUGAGAUCCUUUGGCAAAGUAAUAUAUGAAGUGCACUUCGGAGUUUAAAGUAUGAAAUAUUAGUAGUACUUUAACGGGUCGCCGUUUAUAGCGAAGUUUAAGGUGGAACUAUGUUCAAUUAGAGUGGAACCGCGGAGUAUGACUUCGUCUCUUAU
This 213-nucleotide non-coding RNA is filed under the name Clostridium sp. RNAcentral's name for it is "T-box sequence". It matches the Rfam family "T-box leader". Rfam says of the family: Uncharged tRNA acts as the effector for transcription antitermination of genes in the T-box leader family. Lineage: Bacteria; Bacillati; Bacillota; Clostridia; Eubacteriales; Clostridiaceae. The record is from RNAcentral.